This is a long non-coding RNA of Hermetia illucens (black soldier fly), 8100 nucleotides long. RefSeq lists it as uncharacterized. The record is from RefSeq and is a predicted model, not a curated record. Lineage: Eukaryota; Metazoa; Arthropoda; Insecta; Diptera; Stratiomyidae. The transcript has 2 exons.
UCCCGCUCCUUCUGCCCCUCCUCUGGCGUCCCACAGAGAUCUAUUCUGGGUCCUUUGUUAUUUUUAUUUUUUAUUAACGACCUCCCCCCCCCCGUCUUACUGGCGCUGUUGCUGUUUUGAGGAAUACCCUCGAGUACUACUCCGUGAUCUGGUCACCCACCCGUCACUGUGAUCGUUUUGCCCUUGAAAAUGUGCACCGUGAAUUCACCCGUUACCUUUUCUUUAAGAAACGCUUCGAUCGUAUGGCCUACCCCUGCCACCUUCGCUUUCUGAACCCCCCUUUCAACAACAGCGUAGAUCCUAUCUGGAUCUAUGCACAUUUUUUAAACUUUCCUCGGAUUUGAUAGACUGCUCAGCCGCUGACGACAUCACCUGCCGUCCUGCAUCUUAUAACACACGUAGCGCAGACAUUUUCAACGUGCCCAUCACAUAGCUUGUGGUCUACUUUCAUUUCCCGAUUCCUAGGCUUUGCCGAAAUUACAACGCACAACAGCUUGGUCCUUUAAACUUCUCUACUUUAAGUAGUUUUUAGCAUAGGAUAAGAUCGUUGCUUUCUCCUCCUCCUGAGAACAGUAAGUAACUGGAGGUUACUCUGUUUGUUGUCCGUUAAUUAAAUAAAUAAUUUUUUGUUGAAGAUGCUGGGAGUCCUGAGCCCGCACCGCACCAUUUGGGAAGCAACUAACUUCCUCUUUUGUAGUUCAUGGACUCCUCUUUUUUGGGUUAAACACCCAAGUUUUCAAAAAAGAACGAAAAAGUUGACUGACGGUUUCGUCCAGGGGAGGGAGAUACUUUGCGCAAAUGAUCAGCCUAUUGAGCUCUACAUCCUCCCGUAGAUAUAUUCACUAUCCCAUCAAAUUAAUCGCUGUCACAGCGACUUCUUCCCCCAAGUGAAGAACAGCACGUCCACUACCCUUAUGCGCCAUUAUUGCCGGUCCGUCAAUAUAUGCCUUAUUUCUCUAGAUCAUUCCCGGAAGUUUACAUAGCCCUACCAUUGUUAUGCGCCUCGAGGACCCAUUCGUAGAUCACUUUGGAUUACUGCAAUAAACUGGUAUAACCUAAAACGCAGUUUUCAUCCUUUUUAAACUGUAACCUGUCCAAUGCCACUUCUGCCAUUUAAUCAACAUGCUUGCGUGAGGAUCUGGUCUUUUAAACGAAACCUUGCCAAGGUUUAUUAAAAUUUCUUCCGCAGACGUGAACGAUCGUGAAGUGAUCUUAAUGUCAUCCUCGUAAGGCUCAGCGCUAACAGCGUACCUUUAAUAUCUACCGGCAGCUGCCGUAUUGAGCGAAGAGAGAGAUUGAGUGAAAAUUAGGGUCAAUUCCACAAAUAUUUGAUAGAUGUCAAUAUCAAAUUAUUAGGACUUCCCCAACGCUUGUUCGACCGUAAAAAGUUGGUCGGUCAAAUCGAGACCUUCUUCAGUAAUCGCCAAUAGUUUCGUCGGCAUUUUGACUGAUUUUAAGUUCCAAUAUUUGUUAAGACCUCUUGCGGGAUUCGCUGGUAAUCCCUCAUAGCCCUUUCCAUUCCUGCUAGGUUCACCCAAUACAAUUCCUUCGGUUUUUCCUCCGUUUGGAAUAUGCCUUUGAACCAAAAAAUGAAAAACAUUUUUGAAGAAUUCGAAAUUCAAACCGAAGCCUGGCAAGUUUAGUGACAUUCCACAUGCUGCCUUGACCGGAGGACAUGGCGGAGUUCAAUGGACCAUUCCUCAAAUAUCUCGACCAGGCUAAUGACAUCUGUUUGCUCUCUCACCGAUUCAUGAACCUUAGCCAAAUGGCUGUGGAUUUGGAAAGUGAGGUAAGCCGGGCCGAACUGAAGAUAAACACCAACAAAAUCAAGGUUCCCAGUCUGACUGGUCAUCUCACUCUUUCUAUCUGCAUCAGCGGGCAGAACACCGAGGAUGUUAAUCAAUUUGUCUGUCUUAGUAGCGUCGGUUAUGCCAACGAUUUCAUAGAGUUUCAUGUCAUUCGACACAUUGACAGCGGAUGAAUCCGCCUUUGCUUUUUGACUAAAAUUUGAAAAAGCAGAUACCUCAAUAGCAACAUCAAUGUUCCACGCCUCUUGCUUUUAUAUGCGAGUAGCACAUGGAAAGCGACCAUCACUGUAACUCAAACGCUCCAAGCCUUCGUGAACGCCUAUCUCCGCUAUGGCAUCGGUGUACACCAUCCUGAAAAAAUCUCGAAAGAUGAGGUUUGUUGGUUAGAGAGCGAAAAUGGCAAUGGAUAGGUUUCACUUCAAGGAAGAGUGGCCAUUGCAUCGCUGACUACGCCACGCAAUAAAAGCCGUUCUCCCAGAGUGGCCAUUGAAUAGGUCGUCCUGGAAUCACAUCGAAGUAUACGAGGAAUGUAGAAUUCUUUGGUCGGCCUGGGGAGAGACAGAGGGUGUUUCCUCGAACGAGGAGUAUUCAAUCUUUCUUGUGGUGUUCAUAUUACUCUAAAUAAACCUCCGCUUUCUGAGUGCAAUCCAUCUUCGUACUUUUGGAUUUUUUGUUCUUGUUUAAAACCACUAUUACUUCGCCGGGUGGGUUUGUCUCGAGGCCCUCGUGCUGUUUUCUUCAGCUCCUUCCCAGCAGUUCAGAUUUCCCUUUCAAUCGCGGACUUUGCAUGCUCUGGAUUCUCCAGUAUGACACCGCAUCUGAACAACUGCCUGUAACAACCACCGUGUACCGUAAGGAACUGGAUAAUAUGGCAGUUCGUCUCUCCUGGCCAAGCAACAUUCUUGCAUGUGCCCCCUCCGUAUGUUUUGGAAGAUUCAGCGCACUCAUUUCGUCUAGGAUCAUGUCCGCCACCACCAAUACCACCGAAUUUGAUACGGAGGAAUCGAGUACAAUGGACCACUAUAAUCUAGGUAGACAGGCUUUUCUUCCCUUCCUCUCCGUCCUGUACCAAAAAGUCCUCUUUGAAAGGUAACUCUCCACCAAACUCGCCAAAUAUCCAGACACAUCUAUGUUAGUCAAAACGGUUUUAAUUCAGUUCCAAUUUUUGACAUCCAACGAAUUCCGCAUGUCUCUUUCCAGAUUUACCAUGGCGCAUAUUACAUUCACUGUAAUGUGGGUGUACCAAUAUCCGCACCGACGUUCCGAUAGACCAGGUGUUGGCAAAUAACUCGGGCGUAGUCUUUACUACUGACUUUAAAACUUCGUUAGGGAUGUCAUCCAAACUUGGCACCUGAUCACCGCCGACUCUACGGCACUUUUCUCAGCAGUUCCUUCUCGAUAACAAGAGGUCAGUUGAACUUGCAUUUGUCCCGCUGUUUUGGUGAUGAAAAACAGAGUUGGAGCAAUUUCUUUGAAAAUCGCAGGCAGUUUACUAGGGGUUAUUAUUGCAGCCUUUGUAUUACUACCCUAUAAGCCCCACCCGAAGAUUUCAUGUCGGUAUCUUCGCAGAACUCUUUAAAGUAGUUUGUUUUACUUUUUUGGAUCGUGUCUUUUGAGCUACUCGCAGUUACCAAUGUAUCAUCCGUUAACCACCGCUACCUAGUUUUUCUCUGAGCCUCUGGUAGAGCUUCCUUGCCCAAAAACAUGCAUCUCGCAAAGUGGCCAUUUCAGUGUUCUACCAUUACCUCCAGUUUCCCCUACUAUGUAGCAGUCUCUUUCUGGGCAUAGUGACAAUACUAUAGGUGACCUGAGUGCCUUUUUCUUUGACCGUACCAACCAGAGUUAUGUCGGGUUCGAUCACCGCAGAAAAUGUAUCCCCCCAGAUGCCUGCACUGCCCAUCGGAGCAAACCACCCAAAAUUCUGGGGGAGUUCAUUUUGGAGCUCAAUUCACCCUCGAUGUCUAUGCAAAUAGCUUGGUGGCCACUGUAAGUAUGGUCCCACUAACAUGACAAGCAGCUCUUCUGGCCAAAGUGACGCUGACAUACAUGAUCUAUCUAAAUUAGGGGGAUUCAUUCAGAAUUUAUUAAUGAGAAUAUUACAAAUGAUUCCGUAUCUACACACUCUUGCCAACGAGUUUUCCAGUUUUUGUAAGCCUCCAGGAACGCCUGGACCGGACCGCCUGGACCCCUGUUCACAGCCUGUUAAACCGUCUCUACCGAGACGUGAUGCUUCCCCUUGAGCGUUGAUUUUAUUCCCGGGAAUUAGAAAAAGUCUAGCGGGGCCAGGUUGGGCUAUAGCGGACCUGAGACAGCGUUACCACCUUGCGCUGGGCUAGAUAUUUCACUACGCGGAACGCAUUUUCAGAGCACAGUCGCUCUUGUCGGGGAUAGCUGGGUGGACAGGAAGAAAGCGUUUUUCAGCCUUGUGAGGACUUCUACGUAAAAACUGCAUUAGCUGUUUGUGGAGGUGGUACGAACUCAUAGUGGAUGACUCCAUGUCGAUCAAAAACUCAAAUGAAUUUGGGCGUCUACUUAGAUUUGCUCAUUCGUGUUUUAAGGUAGCAUGGGAAGAAAGAGUGUGCCAUUCUGAACUCUACCGCUUACUCUCCGCAUCGUACUCAAACAUCCACGUCUCGUCACCGGCCAAUACAUUGUUCAAAAACUUGGAGUUCUCAUUCACAUGAUGAAAAAGAUCCUGCCAGAUCGCUUUUCGAUUUUCCUUUUGCUCCUCUAACGAAAUUCACGGCAUCAACUUCAAGUACACUUCCCCCUGGCUAAGAUUUCUGUCACAGUCACAAAAAUUUGGUUUGAGUCGAGCUACAGUCAUAAGCAAUCAUUCGGUUGACGAUGCUGGAAAUGCUGGGAGUCUCGAAUCUGCAUCCACUUGAUGACUGACCGGACCACUUGGAAAACAACUUACUUCCUCUCUUGUGGUCCACGGACUCCUCUUUUUGAGUUAAACACCUAAGUCAAAAAGAAAAAAUCUUGACUGAUGGUUUCGGCCAGGCCAGAGGCAACUCAUCAGACGCUGCCUCACCUCUGUCCUGAGAGUAGUGCGACCGAAAGUGGCGACAGGUGGUAAUCGCUCCGUUUAUAUAAAAUCGCAAUGAAUCAUUCUGAUAACCAUCCUAGAAUCACUGCUCAGUAAAUUUUCCACUUGCGACACAUUUUCGCCGGUCUUGAUGGUCGAAGGGCGUUUAGAGCAAUUAUCGGCUUCGACUCUUCCUCUGCCCUCUCGAAGCAGCUGGUAUUACUCAAAAACACACGAUAUACCCAUGGUAGUAUUACCGUAGGCCUUUCUUAAGCACUUUACCGAGCAUAACACAAAAAUUGAUCGCAUAUUGCUAUCCCAGGAAAUCAUCCAUGAUUCUCCAUGACGAAACAUUUCCACAAUACAAGCGGUCUUUUCAACGGCCCUGAGCUGCCUGUCAUUUUUUUCUCACUCCACCGAUCCUGCACGCAUAGACCACCUCUCAUCUACCCAUUCGCCCGGGAAAAAACAGUACUAUUACUUCCAGAACAGCCCCACGAUAUACCCCGGGAUCCUUCCAUUGAAGUGCCAACAUUCAUAAGCGCCACGGUCAUUCCACCUGUUAAGAUUUCUAGCUACGAUAUGUGGCCUACGUUCUAUCAUGUCAAAACCUAGAGCACUCAGUAUUUGUUCAUACUACUUCGGUGUGAUUUCUUUCAGUUUUGCUCUACUGAAUCCCUGUUCUGGGUGCUCUGUUAUUUACUGAAAGGUCUGUUCUCCUGGAGUUCGCACCGCUGUUUGAUCCGUUCAUAAUUUCGAUAUGACAUGCUAAUUAUAGUCACGUCAAUAUCCUUCUUGCGGAUAGUUUUGGAGAACAAUCCCUGCUUCGCCUGGAAGUUAUGGGUUUUUCCAACCUCUGGUACUCAUUGAACUCGGCCUCCCCGGAUUUGCUAUUUUAUUUUGAGAACCCGAAAACUCGUUCUUUUUAUAAUGGAAAUCCUCAAAUAUUAAGAAAGAGAACGUUGUUCCGUUUUUGUCUAAAAGAUUUUCUAUUGUGUGCAGGUGCCGUAUUUCGGGAGCCAGUUGUUUCCUUUUUCAGUCCGAAUGUAACCGUUUCUUUGUUCAGCACAUCACGUUCGUACCGGGAAAAGAAAUAGAUGGUUCCCGAAACACAGUAUUUACAACAAUAAAAAAAUUGUGUGAAAAACAAUCUUCUUGGGACGAUGCUAAUGUUCCUUUUUGAAAUAACAUAUUCGGUGUAAGCAACGGUGAUCAGGUCGAAGGUGAGACAGCGACUGAAGAGUAGCCUCUGCCCUGACGACACAACCGUCAGUAACUUUUGAAAACGCGGGUAUUUGAAAGAGUGGUCCUUGUAUUAGAGGGGAACACCAUGUUUCUUUUCAAAAUCAGUGUAAUCCACCAUCAAAUUGAUUAGGAACUCAGAAGAACUCUAUCCUCAAAUAAAAAAGCAUUUUUAACCAAAAUUCUUUUAAGCAAAAACGGAAAAACCAUAUUUCUUCUCCAAACCUAAAACAGUGACUAAUAAAAAAGUUACUUUAGACUUCAAUUAUAAAUAAAUCUCUACUGCAUUUCGUUCUUCUCCAAAAAGUAGCAAUUGUUUUUGCUUCAGCACCUAUACAACGUGAGGCGUAUUUACUUUAUUCCAAAAAAUAGUCAUUCCAGCCGCCUUAAGCUAUCAAAUUUCAUCCUCAAAACCACCUUUCUAAAAGAAGAGAUAGACAGCUAACUAUCGAAACUGAUAUCAAAGAUAAAAUAUUAUAAAAGUUGAUUAUUUGAAAUAACGAGUUGUUUUAAUAGCACUUUAAAAAUUUUACCAAAAAUAUUAUAUUUAGAGAAAAACAAAUGAAAGCUUCAAAUCUAUCGAAAUGUUUAUUACUACUUUACAUGUUCUACUAUAUACCAACUCAAAAAUGCUACUCCAAAAUACAAAAAAAAAAGAUAAACUCAGAAUCACACAAUCAUCAAAUACAUAUUUUCGGAAAGUAUAAAUAAAUAUUCAUAUUGCGAAAUGUAAAAAGAAAAUGGAGAAUUAGAACGAUUAUAAUAGCGUAGAAAGUUAGCAACAAAUUCUUGAAAAUGUAUUUAUACAGUAUUCCAUUAACAUUCACAUAUACUACGGAAUUGUUGAAGUCAACGUUUCGGUUUCCCAUAACUAUAUAAUUUAUGAAUUUUAUACAAAACCAUAAGCUAAUCACUGAUCGGAACAUCAUAGCAAAAAAAGUAUUGUUAAUUGUUAUGAAAGCACAAAUAUUCAUUCGGUAUAAUUCGUUCAACGAAAAAUUUAGAGGAAUCAAACGUUCCGAAAGCAAAGAUGUGACAAAUUUUACAAUAAUACUAUAUGUUGCUACUAAGUGACACCAAUACGAUCGAUCUAGUAUGCAGGAAUGAUUUAUGGGAUUUAUUUAUAUCAAUUGUUCACUCAAACGUACAUAGAAUAGAUAAUACCAACUAAUUAUCAUAAACGAAGCAAAAACUUGCUUUUGUCAUUAACCAACCAUAACAGUUGGAUUACAAUAACAAAUUGCGAAAAAUAAUACAAAGCCUUUGUACUGAAGUUUAAAAUAAUUAGACGCACACCAUCCUUAUUUUUCGUACUCAUCGAACAUAUCCCUACGGUCACAAAACGAGUGAAUAACACAAUAAAUUGCUAAAAACACACGAAUUUAUAUCACAUUUUCAUAAUUUGCAUCACAUAUAAGGAUCCUAAAGUACUCAUGCACAAGCUCGAAAAAAAGCGAAUACUACCAGUGGCUAGAAGAAAACUCAAAACGCGGAUAUUUUCUUCGGUUCACAAUAAAUAAGCAGAAAUGCAAAGAGAAUUAUUGACAACUAUACAACUACAUAGCAAAUUAAAUUAAUAGUAUAUGUAUAUACAUAUAUAUUUGGGGUUUACAAAUGAAAUUAAUAAUGAAAUUUACAAAAAAAAAUGAGCUCUAUUUAAAUAUUUCUCAUGUAAAUAUUUGAUGAAGAAAAUAUAUUAAACAUGGAAAUUCUUUUACUGUGUUUUGAAUGCAUUUUUAAACAAAAAAAAAACAAGCCUGAGAUAUAUUAGAGUAAAUACAACAAAACAGUUAUGGAAUAAGAAGUUGAUUUAAUCCGAAAUUUAAAAAAAAAAACAGCUUUUUCAUUGCUAUACUUGUAAGAAAUUACUUAUUAUUAAGAAACAAUAAACCAGAUAUGAAUUUAUGGAGAAAAAAACCAUUUGAUGAACUACAUAUGAAGAUGAACAAUACAAAAACAAAAUGAAUUCAAAGUGAACAUUCGUUACAAAUAAAUGAAAAACAUGUUGUGGAAGCUUUA